Molecule: unclassified non-coding RNA, 249 nt
Filed under: Paraglomerales sp.
Lineage: Eukaryota; Fungi; Glomeromycota; Glomeromycetes; Paraglomerales
Description: partial contains 5.8S ribosomal RNA and internal transcribed spacer 2
Rfam family: 5.8S ribosomal RNA (bases 1-65)
Source: RNAcentral
GUGAAUCAUCGAAUCUUUGAACGCAAAUUGCGCCUUUUUGGAAAGGCAUGUCUGUUUGAGGGCAAGAUUUAAUAAAUAAUGCGCAGCGGUUUUUGUUGUACAGGCUGAUGAGCUUUGCAAGAAUUUUAAAUUUUUGGUGGCGCAUAAUGAACAGUGCGAAAGGGUUUUUCAGUUCGAGUGUAGUAAAAUCUUUGCUUGGGUUGUGAAAAAACAUAAUCGUGUAAUGGGGGUGGCAAUUUCUUUUUAUGC